AGAGUAUUUUCAGUAGAAUCAAUAAUUUCCUCCUGCUAAGAUGUGCCGCUAUUCAAUUGGGGAGUGUUAUUAUCAAGUGGAUUUGAUAUCCCUCCUACCGCUCCUUGAGUAUUCUUCAUUCGUCAUGGAGGUAUAUUGACCUAUGACAAAUUUAGGAUGAAAACUUAUCCUUAAUAAAGUUAUAAACUUAUUUAAGAUAGUUC
This 203-nucleotide long non-coding RNA is filed under the name Elaeis guineensis (African oil palm). Its description in RNAcentral is "long non-coding RNA (EGUI_LNC003571)". The record is from RNAcentral. Lineage: Eukaryota; Viridiplantae; Streptophyta; Magnoliopsida; Arecales; Arecaceae.